UCAGGCCUCCACCUGCACCCCCUGUGAUUCUCCAGGGUCUAAUUAACUGCUGCGCUGAACUGCUACCCCUGCUUUAUAAUCACACUGACACACACACACACACACACACACACACACACACACACACACACACACACACACAGCACCCUAAUCAGCACACAGCCCCUCACAACUCUUGUGGUAACACACACAACUGAGACAAAUAAAACAUGGCUGCCAACGACGGAGCUGUCUGCCUCCUCACAAAGGCUCGUUUCAGACGCUCCCAUAGCCAUUUGCAUUUUACUACCGGAGCAGCCUUUGCCUUUGUCAGGUAUAGGUCACACAGAAAAGACUGUCCAGACACGCUUCUCGUUUUUUGUUCCUGUAAUUGCUUAAUUAAGUUUGUUAAUUAGCUCCGCAGAAUAAAUGUCAGGCUGUUACGAGCCGCUUUGAAGAGGGAAAAACUGAUAGAGCCCUGCAAUGUGUGAGCACUUUGCCACAAGGAAAGCUGCAGUGAACAACACCUACUGAGACCGCCAGCAGUCAUCAAUAAUAUAUAGGAAGCUUCCAAACCAACCUGCCAGGUAUAUGAUGCUUGACUCCGAGGGAUACAAAAGAGGCAAGUGAAAAACAUGUUCUUGUACAAUGACCAUACACACUAUCAUAUUAAAUCUGUCUAAGAAAUGUGGCUGUUGAUGUUUAUCUUUACAUAUUUUAUCACUUAUAAAGAUUUGCCCAAUGUCCUCUCACAAAUAUAUAAAACAAGUUCCAUUUUGUUUUCUAUUUUUUUCAACCAGGAACCACACAAUAUUUGUUUAACAAUAUAAUCUUAUAAUCUAUAAUAAGAAUCUAUAUUUUCUUAAAUGUGGAUGAUGCAUUAAGACAGAUUUGGCUCACAUGAUUUUUCUCUUCUUCUAUGAUUCAGAAAACAAUUUGUUUGAUAUGGUACAUGUAAAUACUAGAAUAAUGUGUGUUUUUCUUUUGGAAG
This is a long non-coding RNA of Dicentrarchus labrax (European seabass), 970 nucleotides long. RefSeq lists it as uncharacterized. The transcript has 3 exons. The record is from RefSeq and is a predicted model, not a curated record. NCBI's taxonomy places the organism in Eukaryota, Metazoa, Chordata, Actinopteri, Moronidae.